CAAGCAGCAUAAUGUAAUGCUAAUGUUGAUAUUCAGGUUUCCUUUCCUUUUGAUCCAAGAGAAAAUUUCCAGAAAGAGGAUAUUCCCCUGUUCCAGCAGACAAACAAAUUGAUAAAUGAUAUAAAUAUAUUACAUUUCACAUUGUCAACCAUCCCUUCAACGCUAGCAUUACAUUAUGCUGCUUGCUUCGACAGCUUACAGUAUCGUACAACAUUGAUUGGUUUUCUUUGCCUGCUUGUAGAACAUCUGUGAAGC
This 255-nucleotide unclassified non-coding RNA is filed under the name Hevea brasiliensis (rubber tree). Lineage: Eukaryota; Viridiplantae; Streptophyta; Magnoliopsida; Malpighiales; Euphorbiaceae. The record is from RNAcentral.